This 618-nucleotide ribosomal RNA is filed under the name uncultured archaeon. RNAcentral describes it as "bacterial SSU rRNA". It matches the Rfam family "Archaeal small subunit ribosomal RNA", at positions 149 to 767 of the family's 1478-position model. The record is from RNAcentral.
AUCCGCGAUAGGUGUGAUGUCCUGGAAUGGUAUCACGCCCAAAUGUGUUCGCACGCCUAAGGAUGGGGCUGCGGCCGAUCAGGCAGUUGGUGAGGUAACGGCUCACCAAACCUUUGACCGGUACGGGCCAUGAGAGUGGUAGCCCGGAGAUGGACACUGAGACAAGGGUCCAGGCCCUACGGGGCGCAGCAGGCGCGAAACCUCCUCAAUGCACUCACGUGCGAAGGGGUUACCUCGAGUGCCAUCUGAAGAAGGUGGCUUUUCCUUGGUCUAAAAAGCCUAGGGAAUAAGAGGGGGGCAAGACUGGUGUCAGCCGCCGCGGUAACACCAGCCCCUCGAGUGGUGGGGAUGAUUAUUUGGCCUAAAGCGUCCGUAGCCGGCCGGAAAAGUCUCCCGUUAAAUCCAGCGUCUCAAGCGUUGGACUGCGGGAGAUACUGUCUGGCUAGAGAGUGGGAGAGGUGUACGGUAUUCUGGGGGUAGGGGCGAAAUCCUUUGAUCCCCGGAGGACCACCAGUGGCGAAGGCUGUGCACUAGAACACGUCUGACGGUCAGGGACGAAAGCUGGGGUAGCGAACCGGAUUAGAUACCCGGGUAGUCCCAGCCGUAAACGAUGCACGC